UCGGCUCUCCCUGAAGAGUUGAAUCCCCGACUCCUCCACAACCCUUUUUUUUUUUUUUUAACUGCGAAUGACUCAUAUAAUCAGUUAUCAUUUAUUUGGUGGUCUCCUUACCACUCRGAUAACCGUGGUAAUUCUAGAGCUAAUACGUGCAUCCCGACUUCUGGAAGGGAUGUAUUUAUUGGAUUAUAGGCCGAUCCGGGCUUGCCCGUUGUUGCGGCGAAUCAUGGUGACUUGUCGAAUCGCAUGGUCUUUGAGCCGACGAUGUUCCAUUCAAAUUUUUGCCCUAUCAACUUUCGAUGGCAGGAUAGAGGCCUACCAUGGUGGUAACGGGUAACGGAGAAUUAGGGUUCGAUUCUGGAGAGGGAGCCUGAGAGAUGGCUACCACAUCCAAGGAAGGCACCAGGCGUGUAAAUUACCCAAUCUUGACAUAGGGAGGUAGUGACAAUAAAUAACAAUACUGGGUUCUUUCGAGUCCGAUAAUUGGAAUGAGAACAGUCGUAAACUCCUUGAACGAGGAUCCAUUGGAGGGCAAGUCUAGUGCCAGCAGCCACGGUAAUUCCAGCUUCAAUAGCGUAUAUUUAAGUUGUUGCAGUUAAAAGACUCGUAGUUGGAUUUUGGGCGGGAGGGGUUGGUCCGCUCUUGCAAGCGUGUACCGACCCUUUCGCCUUUCUUGCUAGGUAUGCGUUCCUUGCCUUUAUUGGCUGGGAUCUAAAGUCGGCGCUGUUACUUUUAAAAAAUCAGAGUGUUCAAAGGAGGUAUGUUCCCUGAACAUAUUAGCAUGAAAUAACGCGAUAGGACUCUGGUCCUAUUUCGUUGGUCUUCGGGAUUGGAGUAAUGAUUAAUAGAGACGGUUGGGGGCAUUCGUAUUCCAUUGUCAGAGGUGAAAUUCUUGGAUUUAUGAAAGACGGACUUCUGCGAAAGCAUUUGCCAAGGACGUUCUCAUUAAUCAAGAAUGAAAGUUGGGGAAUCGAAGACGCUCAAAUAUUAUCAUAGCUUCAACCAUAAACCAUGCCAACUAGGGACUGACGAAUGUCUAUUGGAUGACUCUGCCAGCACCUUGUGAGAAAUCAAAGUUUACGGGUUCCGGGAGGAGUAUGGUCGCAACGUUGAAACUUAAAGGAAUUGACGGAAGGGCACCACCAAGCGUGAAGCCUGCGACUUAAUUUGACUCAAUACGGGGAAACUCACCAGGUCCAGACAUAACAAGGAUUGACAGAUUGAGAGCUAUUUCUUGAUUCUAUGGGUGGUGGUGCAUGGUUGUUGUCAGGACCUGUGGGUACCGAAUAACGUCCCAACACUCGAGAGCCUGUACAUAGCUAAGUUGUGCACGACAGAAAAGUCCAGAGAAAGGAGACAAGAGAGAGAAAAAAGUCAAAGGACUAGGACGGGACUGCAGGAAGGAAUAAUGCCCUGGGCUAAAUACCGCAGGGUGAAGGACCCGACAAUGGCAAGCAAGUAAGUAACAGGACAGGGGCGCAUAGGGGCAUAGCAUGGGGUCAUGAAGGCCAUUCGAAUACGGGAUGGCAAGAACCCGAGCGGCCACGAACUAAACACGCAAGACGCGGCAGAUGGCAACAAAAUAUUGAAGUCGGAAGGUGAACGACCCUGGUGG
Molecule: ribosomal RNA, 1612 nt
Filed under: Chara braunii
Lineage: Eukaryota; Viridiplantae; Streptophyta; Charophyceae; Charales; Characeae
Description: SSU rRNA
Source: RNAcentral